Molecule: transfer RNA, 76 nt
Filed under: Diplosoma listerianum
Lineage: Eukaryota; Metazoa; Chordata; Ascidiacea; Aplousobranchia; Didemnidae
Description: transfer RNA-Met (TAT)
Source: RNAcentral
UUUUUUAUAGGUUAAUUUUUGUAAACCUUUGUUUUUAUUAAACAAGAAUAUAUUUAUAUAUUAUUUUUUAUAAGAU